Molecule: long non-coding RNA, 6495 nt
Organism: Dendroctonus ponderosae (mountain pine beetle)
Lineage: Eukaryota; Metazoa; Arthropoda; Insecta; Coleoptera; Curculionidae
Exons: 2
Source: RefSeq, a predicted model, not a curated record
GUUGUUUGCAUAGGAAUGAAUAUUUUAAUUUUUGACCGGGUUCUGGGAAACUUCUAACUUAUAUUCUAUCCAUUACCUACUUGUACAGGUAUUGCAAUAUUGAUAUAUCACCUGUGAUAUGUAGUUCUUUCUGUCUAUUUUUUUCAAAAAGGUAGGGGCAAAUUUGCAGAUGCGAAAUAAUCAUCACUAUUGUAUUAUUUAUUAUCACGCAUAAUUCUCUAUGACGGCGAAUGUUGCAUGCACAGACCUACACAUAAAUAACUGCAUUAAAAGCUAUGCAAAAGUAUUGAUUAUUGUUGUUCGCGACUGUUCUAUAUUUGCCGCAGAAUCUAGAAUGUGAAAGCUGAGAUUUGGCGGUAACAUAUGUCGAAUAAAUAUUAUUCCUCGAUUAUUUAAAAAUAAUUCGUGUAGUGACAUAAUGCGCUGUAGAUUGGAGCUUAUUCCAGCUCGGUCACGUGUAGUUAACUAUUUGCGUAGAGUGGCAAAAUCAACAAUGUAGUGUAAAACAAUUUCAAUUAACAAUCAAACACCUUAUAGCAUAUAUAGGUUUGGCAAUAAUCUUCUUUAAACCGCGUGGUUUAUCACUUAUUCCUACGCAGAAUAAUGCGAUUUAUCUAAUACCUUUUAAUAUUGCAUGCAAAAGUCAGGAACAACAAAAUUUUGGAAAUCAGUAAUUCAAUUUGAUUGAAUUGGAACAUCGAUCAAUUUAUCUAGUAAUCCAUUCAAUAAUUUUUCCAUUUAUUUACAAAUAAAGCCUGGGGCGCAUUAUAUUUAUUAAACUAUUCACAUCAAUCUAAAUAAAUAAUUUGCAAGUGCAAGGAAAAUUCGAAAGUCCCAUCAAGACUAACUAUUUCGAUUGUUCUUCAUUUUAAUAUGAUCAUUAUUUGAAAGUGUUAAAUAAACAGAUUUUUUCUGAACCAGUUCAAUGGAAAGUUACUGAUGUAUUUUGUCACUCUGCUCGAAUCAAAAAAAUUUUGCUUCGAUUUUUCGAAGCCGAUUGACUUAAUUUUCGAAAGACUGGUUAGUGGGAGGAUAUUAGUAACAUAUAAUGUAAUUUUUAAGAAAACUAUUUUGCUUGUUAGAUUGUUUAGUAUAGUAUAGGUUAUCUUAAUAUAUGAGAAUCUAAAUAAUAUAUUCUAAAUAUUCAGAUGAUAUCGAAAGAAGACACAGAAAUUUUAAUGUAUCUACUUAGAUUAGAGUAAUUUUAUUGUAACAAGUAAUAUUUUUGUUUUGUAAAUAGUUGAUUUUCAAAAUUUACGUAACUCGAAUCAGUCAGUUCACAAUACGCAGUGGCCUGCUUUGUAAAUUUAUAAAAUAAAACAACCAAAAUGUUGCUAAUUACAAUAGACGCACAGAUGGGGGCAAUAUUUAUGUUUGGUAAUUACUGCCCUACACUUAUUUUUUAUAAACACAUUCCCUGUUGUGCAGUAAGAGAAGCACUCUUUAUACUGUGUUUGUAUUUUAGGAGUGUUUCUCGUUUUUUACAAUUUUAUUGGAAAAAAAUAUUUAAAAAUAAUUGAAACAUCUGUUGAAAUAAGUUUUGUUGCGACUUAGUAAUCUGGUACCAAUAAUUGUAAUAUUUAUAAAAAAUUAUGUUUCAUAGUUAUUUCUAGCAAAUAAUGUAUACUGUAUACUAUAUCAAAUAUCUUGGUCAACUAAAUAAAACAGCUGCGAUAUACUUAACAUUUUGUUUGCUAUUUUUGUCUGCAAUAAAUUAUAAUUAUAUGUUCCGAUAAGUGUGUUUUAUUUGUUUGUUCCCAAUGAUUCACUGUCUUUCACAGCUAAUUUUAUUCAACAAAUGAUAUUAAACAAUGUGAAUUAACAGUUUCUCCAAACAGCGCUUAGAUUCACAUCUUUUAAAUUGGUCUCAACUGUUUGAAAGAUGAAUGGUUUCUGAAUUAUUACAGUUUCUUAAGGUUGUUGCGUGAGUUGAGUGAGUACAACUUAAUUAAAAUAAAUGUCUUAAAGCUUGUGUAUUUGAUGAUUUUUUAUAACAUAAUUAAUAUGCUUAAUUUCUCAAUCUUUAUACUGAUCUGAUGAACUGUUUCAACUAUUUUGAAAUGUUAUUUUUAAAUAUAAAUAUUCAGAAUUCAUUAAAACUGAAUAAAUAUAGUGUUAUAUUUAGAUAUAUCAAUUGGGAAUAAAUAUUUAUAGUAUUCUUUAUUUGGCGUUUAUUGAUAAUAAAAAUUAUGUGUUUCUAAUCAUCGAAAUUUCCAUAACAAGUCUCAAAAUUAAAUUAGUAUUUUUCACUUUUAAAAUGCUGGUGGUACAGUUGGUUUCCUUGCAUUUACUUCCGAGUUUCCAACAUUUACUUUCCAUUGCAUCAUUAAUUUAUUCAUAAAAGUUUUGUACUGAGAAUUUGAGAAGUAACGUAAUUCUCAUCUGAACUGAAUUCGCGUAGAUAAAAAAUGUUUCUUCGCUUCCUUAUUGUUAAUUCAAUGGUUUCGUAUAAAUUAAAUUAAACACACUGAAUUCGUUUUUUUGCAGUGGAAAAUCUUUAAGCUGGAAUUCUCGUUUAAUAAGCUUGAAUUGUACAUAGACAAAUUGUACAGUAUGUGUUUAUGCUUUUCUGUUUUUUUAAUAUAUAAAGUUAUUAUCAAUCACUAGGCGCGUUCUGAACACUGUACCUGUAGUCUCAUCAGGAUUCAUGAGCUCAUCAACAUUUUUAUACAUGUGUCACCCGAUACAGUGUAAAUUCUAAAUUUUGGAAAAUUUAUAAUAUUGAUUUCCAUAGUGUCACAUUAGCAAUUUUUUGGUAUAAAGACUUAAGGAUGCUCUUCGCCGUAUCAAUUUUCUGCAUUCAUCCAAAUGAACUGACAUUUGAAAAGCUUGACUGUUGUAGUUCUAGAAAGUUAUGGGAUAUAUGAUAUUAGCGAAAUACACUGUUUGGGCGAAGAAGGAAAUGUCUUAGGUAGGUACGUACCUAAUUAUAUAUUUAUUGAAAUUAAUCCACACGCUAUUUUUUGCCAAGUUGAUCAAAAAGAAAGGAAAUUUUGAAAUACAAUUAGUAAAUUAUACAUCAUAAAUAAAUACUACAUUGCAGCACCAUAAAAGCUAAAAAAAGGGAUGGGAUUUCAAAUUGAAAUGUGGUAUUAAAACCUUCUCUCUUUUGAAUUAGUAGUAAGUAGCUUAUAGUUACUACGAGAACUGAAAUAAGGAUUUUUUAUAAUUUUACGCUAGGUAAUAAAAUAAAAAAGAAGUUUACUAUUAAGUAUGUAGUUGUUAAUGUGUACAAACGUUGAAAUUAAAAAAUAUAGAUACAAUUUAAUGUUUAUGCAAUUGAAAAUAGAACAUUAACAACUUGUUACACCUUGUAGGCUGUUUCGGAUUAAACUUAUCAAAAAAUCUCCAUUUCAAUUUCCUUUUAAAAACUUUCUUUAACAUAUUUUCACAUCAUAAUGACACACCUUGCGUUAACUAACAAUUUACAUAAUUAACAUAUGUGAUGAUAAAAUCAUAGUUAGUAAGAUGUUUGGUCUAUGUUCAUAUGAUUUUGUAUGAUUCAUUGUCAUAUUCGACAUCAGACAGCAUGAUGUCUGGAACUUCAGACACAUAAGCACUUGUUGUGCAAUGUUAUAAAAGGUACAAUUAUUGUUGUUGAAGCCGACGUCACAAUGACUGGAUAUUUCGAAAAUAUUUUUGAAAUUUAUAUGAGCUGAUUGAUGUUGCGUCCUAUCAAAUAAAAAAUUGUUGAUUAUAUAAAAAAAAAUAUAUUAAGCCAGUGGUUGAGAUACAUUUUUAAUUUUCAGUCGUACAAAAACCUACACAUCUUGUGUUACAAUAGAACCUAUAAACAAUUUGAUAAUAAAAAGUUACAAAAUAUCUACAAAUAUUUUUUUAUAGAUAUUAUAAAUACAAUACAGAAUACAGGUUAUGAAAGGUUUACUAAUGUCAAAAUAAAACGAAAUACAUUUAUUAUUAUUAAUAAAAGCAAUUAGUCAGCGAAACUAGGAUUAAAUAUGUUUCCAAGUAAUAAUUAGAUCUGUAACAAAUCGGUUUAUUAUCGAUUAAUUCCAUGAAUUUUAACAAAGAGUAAUGUAAUAAAUAAUAAAUGUACCAACAAUAUAAUCUUAUUAUUAUGCUUAUAAAUAAAAAUACAAUUAAAAGUAAACUCACAAAAAUUAAACCUUUUUAAAACAUGAGUUAAUAGAUGAUACUACGAAAAACUAGUAUUUACAAGCAAUAAUAACAAUAAACAAUAAUCAAUAAUUCAUUAAAUAUAAUAGUUCCAUGGAAGGAAACUACUACUAAAAGAAAGUCUACAAUUACAAUAAGACAUUUUAAGUAAAUUGUAGUAAUUCCUAAAAAAUUGUUGACAUUAUUGCUGUAAUUUCUAUUUAAGUAAAAUAUAACUUUAAAUCCAUCACAGUCACUAUACAAAAAUCCAAUCAAACAGUGUGUUUCUUUGUAAUAAAGUGUAUAUGUAUAUUACUCAAGGGUGUUACAUCGUUUGAAUGGAUGUUCUUCAGUGUUUAACUGAAAAUCUAAAAGGCAACAUUUCCAAAAUAUUUUGUCCUGGUUGUUUUGUUUGGGUUAACCUCAUAAGAGACUCAUUUCAAUAAUAAUUAAACCUCAAAUUUCUGAUCAUAUUAAUCUGUUAAAAAAAUGAACAAAUGUUAGGAGUUUUUUUGUUACAAUUUUAUUGAAAAGCUCUGGGUAUCGUUUUAAGGAUGUUUAAGAUUUCUAAAUUUUUUUGAUAAGUUACAAAUUAAUAAUAAAUACAGACCUGAUUUUAUCAUUUGAUACCCAAUAUACUUUCAAGUCAAGCAGUGAUUUCUGGAAGUUGCCAUUUAUUAACGUUGAUUUAAUACCCUCUAACCAUUUUGCUCCCUUCUUUCCUCCAUCUAUAACUGAAAUUAUCAAAUGGAUGAUUCCAAAUUAAUCUCACUUCUUUUUAUAGGUUUUCGGGAUUACUUGGAACAUUCGAAAACAUAUUUAAUUGCAAAUUUACUUUCUUUCUUUCUCUUUUUUUUCUCUCCAAGUUAUUGUGUGAAACAACAACAAUAAUAAGCAAUAUUUUAAUGUGGUAGUCAUUUGGCGUACUGUGACAAGAAAUAGCGUUUUCAUACAUUUUUGAUAAAAUAGCCACAAUCCUUGGGAACAUUCCCGAAAUUAGUUCUUGUAAAAAAGUGAAAAUUGUUGAUGAAACUGAAAGUUGCAGCCUGGAAGUCACUGUAGUAUUCAUGUAGGUAAUGAGCGAGACCAUUUUGAGUUCAAUACAACAAAAGUAGCACUACUAGAGGCUUGGAAAACAAUUUAAAUGUUUCGAGGAGCUUCAGCUUAUCGGCCUAAAAAUUUUCAUCAAUCUGCAUCAAAUAAUACUUCUAGAGUAGUUCUCUUCUAACCUGUGUUGAUUUACUCAAAUUGAAAACACUUUUGCUAAGUUUAUGAUUUCGUUUAUUGAUUGUGUUGAACAUUCUUUUCUUUCCGCAAACUUUUCUGCAUUUUCUAUAAAUCGGUAUCUUUGUAGAUUGACGUCAAUUUUGUCGGUCUUUAUUUGAAUGUUUAAACAACAGGAAAUCUAAAAUCUAAAAAUACGUGUUUUACAAAUAUGAGAUAUAUAUUAUUGUUAAAAUUUUGAGUCUGCAUUAUAUUGUUAAACAUUAGUCGAAAAUUGAUUAGUUUUGUAAUAGAAACAUUUCGUUGGACACUGGUAAUUAUUGCAGCUCAGAUGGCCUAUAUCAUCAUAUUCAGAUAUUCCAUAGAUUUUUGUAAUUUUAUUGUGGUAAUUCGAAAUCACUAACGUAGAAUAACUAUGAAAACGUUUAAAGAAUUUUGGUAUUUACCAUACAUUUUUAUUUUGUAAAGCAGAUAUCACUACUUUUCUUAUCAGCAGUCACACGAUAUUAUUUAUAAAUUUCACUGAGUCAAUGAGAUAGUAGUGGGCUAUAAAGUGUGGUCACAGCUAGUCUUAACUGGAAGUAAAAAAGUUCAUUAGUAGAUUUGUGUUGUAAAUUAAACAUUGAUAUGGCAUUCAUGAUACCGUACGUAAAACGCAAUUGGGAAAUUUUUCAUGUCGAUCGAGUUGGAAGGCCAGCAAAGCAGGUAGAUGCCGAUAACAACCAUAUAUCAGCAAACAGCAACAUAUUAGCUUCACGAGGCACCAGUUCAAAGACGGCUAAUCAAUCACCAAAGGCAAUCGCAAAGACCUCAACAAAUCACAGAUAAUUACUAUGCUAAGUUGUUAAGACGGAAAUGUAUGUACAUUGUGUUGAACAACAACCAGUGUGAUAUUAAGGAAAGAUCCAUUAAAAAAAGUUAAUGGCAUAAAUCAAUAUUUAUCAAUUAUUAGGACUAAGUUAAAUGUUAGUACAGAUUAAAAUGUUCCUCAGGUGAAGCAAACACGAAAGGCAUGACAUUGUUGGGGAACAGACUUUUCAUGCGUAUUUAAAGUAAAUAAUAUGGAAAUAAAUUAUGUACAAAUAUUGCAAUUAAUAUAAUAAAAAAAAUCAUUAGCAUCUAUAAGAAGUAUAAUGUUAAUAUUAUGGAGUAAAG